This 226-nucleotide ribosomal RNA is filed under the name uncultured bacterium. RNAcentral describes it as "partial 16S ribosomal RNA". It matches the Rfam family "Bacterial small subunit ribosomal RNA", at positions 32 to 250 of the family's 1533-position model. The record is from RNAcentral.
AAUCAACGCUGGCGGCGUGCCUCAGACAUGCAAGUCGAACGAUUAAAGCUCUCUUCGGAGAGUGCAUAGAGUGGCGCACGGGUGAGUAACACGUAAGUAAUCUACCCUCGAGUGGGGAAGUAACGUCCGGAACGGACGCUAAUACGCAUAAUGCAGCGGCACCGCAAGGUGACAGUUGUUAAAGAUUUAUUCGCUUGAGGAGGAGCUUGCGGCAGAUAGUCUAGUU